AAUAUUUUAAUAUUUUAAUAAUACCAAGAGUUAUUAUUAUUAUAUUAUCAAAAUUUUGGGCCAAAUUGUGCCGCACAGCAAACCUGCAUGGAGCUGUUUUUUAUUUUUUUAAAUGCAAAUGUAAUUUUUUUCCCCAGGAAUCGCGCAGCCCUGUUUUAAAGUGAACUAUCCUUUUAAGUUUGUAUUUGAAAGGUUUUGUCUAAGCUGUAGAGUACAUGACAAACUAUGUGCGUAUGAUUUUUAUCAUGUUGAUUACACAAAACUGUGACUUCUUAUUGAUUUGAAAUUGCAAAACGAACCCCGGAGUCACAGUUAGAAGUAGCUGGAAAACAGUAGUUUCGACGUACCUCCAGCAUCACUGCCAGACGUUAUCACACACUGUUUGUCGUGCGCUAAAACUUCGAAACCAAGUAGACUAAAGCUGUGAACACAGUGGCAGAUGGUUAAGCAUCGCUCUCCUGUGAAAUGACAUGGAUGUCAUUUGGUAGGGGGGAUGCAUCGUGAUUGAUGUAGUUCAGACUUGUGGUAUUUUAGUUGAUCACAUGUUGAAAGUGUGCCCAGGCGUGUAAUGUGAAUAUAUUUUCUGUGUGUAAUGUGAAAUACACAUGUGCCUCUUAUAUCGGACUCUUCACUGUGGCCUUAUCAGUCAGAAAAUGCAGCAGUACAGUUCUCAUUUCGAAACCACUGUGAUUAUGUCCAUUAAAAAGGACUUGUCUGUCUUGGAUGUGUGGCGUCUUUUUUGUUUUGUUUUGUUUUGAUUGCAGAAUCUGUUUGUAGAAGCUUAUUGAAAUAGGCAGCAUGAAAACACACACGUUUUUACCUUUCCAGACAGAAGCACGCAGGCUCCUGAAGGCCAACGGCUGUGUGAGUAAAUUAACCCCGCACUCACCAGCUGUAUCACCGCUCCCACCCCUUUCUAGGGAAAAAAACACAUCACCGAACACAUGGCACAAAGGACGGCGUGGGAACUGCAUAUGAUUGGGGUUCGGGAAAACAGCGGCGUCGCACUGGGGACGAUAUCUUCACCGAUCCAGCCAUCUUACAGACUCUGCCUGUAUUUCCACUCAUCAGAUCUGCUAACAGCAAAUCAAUGGGCUUCUUUUGUUUCUGCAGGUUCAGACAUCCUCAUUGUGUCGAUGUGUUAUCGGCAGCUCGUUGUGUGUGUGUGUAAAUUGCUCUGAAUUUGCCACCAGGAUGGAGGCCUCUCCCAGAAUGUUUUCUUUUAUCUAAUGUGAGGAUGUAAACGUUGCGAGGAAGCGAAUAUUUCAAACGGCGCUACGGCGCAGCCAUUUGAUCUCUGAAGGCUCCAGUUGAUUUACGAAUAUGAGAAGUGCUUCAGCUGCAUUCGCCAAUAUUUUCGCUGCGCAGUCAAAGAAAACUUCAAAGUUGAAAGUUGGAGCGUUAAACAGUCCUCCGGGCUCGCAUCCUUCUCUGAAGGGGCCAACGCAAACACGCCUCGGCCCUCCGCGGGGCUCUCGCUGAACCUGGGUAAAAGCAGCAGGGAGGACAACUGAAAUUAAACGUUUGCAGAACGCAGGAGAAACGCCUCCUCCUGUAGGCCCAUACGUUUCCCACAGAGCUGUAAUAUGUCAUCUGGGCAGCCACUUCGGUGGAGGACAUAUCCCACAAUGCCCUGCAAGGCAGGGUGCCACGGUACCCGUUGUGGCUCACUAACACGCCUCCACGUGCCAUCUUAACUUUUCAUUUGUCUUCUUCUACCUGUCAAGGGGAGGAAAAAAUAGUUCGGAGGGAACGAUCCUCCCCAACGGAAUCAUGAUCUAUCAGUUGUACUUCUGUGCCGUUAAAUGACAUUGUACUUUUAUUCAACGUUCCACAAGCAGAAACAGUCUAAUUCAAUCAUCUUAAUUCCUGUCAUAAAAUAUAUUGUUCUUUCAAGGAAUAGACUCUGCAAUUAAGAACUACAUUCACACAUGCUUUAAUUGUAGAUUUUUGCUUUGCUUUGUUUUGUUUGCAUCUUUUGUAUGUAUAAUACAAGCGCAAACCAAAAAUUUCUUUACAUUUUUUUUUUACUUUGUUUUGUCUGGAUCUUUUGUAUGUACAAGUGAAUGAAUGUGGAAGUGCAGACUGAUGAUUUUUGUUUGUUUACUCUUUGUUUUGUUUUGGUUUGUUUUGUUCAGAUUUUGUGUCUAUACAUAAUAGCUCAAAUUUUGUCUGAUCUUUUUGCAUAUAUAAACUUGUACCAUUGCUUUUCUUUGUUUUGUUUGGAUCUUUUUAUGUAUAAUAAAAGUACAACCCACAGUUUUGUUUUGUCUGCAUCUUUGUAUAUAUAAUAUAAGCUCAAACCACCUUUUUUAAGUUUGGUUUAUUUUAUUCUACUUUGUUGUAUAACAUAAGUG
Molecule: long non-coding RNA, 2357 nt
Organism: Cyprinus carpio carpio
Lineage: Eukaryota; Metazoa; Chordata; Actinopteri; Cypriniformes; Cyprinidae
Source: Ensembl